CCGUGCUAGGCGGGGAAUUAGCGGUGCCCUGUCGCUCGCAAUCCGCUCUAGCGAGGCCGAAUCCCCUCUCGAGGGGGGAGGCCUCCGGGAAGUGCGCACCGUGACGGUGCUGAUGGCCCGGGUCCCGCGCGACGUCGGCCCGUGAACCAGGUCAGGUCCGGAAGGAAGCAGCCUUAAGCGGUCUCCGGCGGGCGCAGCGGGAGCUCCCGGUGCCGGAGCCGUCCUCCGGUGCAGCGCCUGGAGACCGACCUUCGAAGGAGGGUGCACGG
Molecule: signal recognition particle RNA, 269 nt
Filed under: Solirubrobacterales bacterium
Lineage: Bacteria; Bacillati; Actinomycetota; Thermoleophilia; Solirubrobacterales
Description: signal recognition particle sRNA large type
Rfam family: Bacterial large signal recognition particle RNA
About the family: The signal recognition particle (SRP) is a universally conserved ribonucleoprotein involved in the co-translational targeting of proteins to membranes. Archaeal SRP consists of a 7S RNA and homologues of the eukaryotic SRP19 and SRP54 proteins.
Source: RNAcentral